This 170-nucleotide unclassified non-coding RNA is filed under the name soil metagenome. Its description in RNAcentral is "partial internal transcribed spacer 1". The record is from RNAcentral.
ACACUAAUGAAAUCCAAAACCUUUUGGAUCAACCCAACCUUAGCGAACCGUUCGUAUUUUCCCUUUGCCCAAUUUUACCAAACGCAAAAACUCUGAUGUAAAGUGUCUGAUUCUUAUUCUCGUUUUCGGUUGUCAUGACCGAGCGGCGGGAAUCAAAAUCUAACGCAAUA